This 1571-nucleotide ribosomal RNA is filed under the name human gut metagenome. RNAcentral's name for it is "bacterial LSU rRNA". It matches the Rfam family "Bacterial large subunit ribosomal RNA", at positions 1083 to 2637 of the family's 2925-position model. The record is from RNAcentral.
UCAUAAACAACCAGGAUGUUGGCUCAGAAGCAGCCACCAUUUAAAGAGUGCGUAAUAGCUCACUGGUCGAGAGACCCUGCGCCGAAGAUUCCCGGGGCUAAAGUACGAAACCGAAGCUGUGGCUGUAUACGUAAAGUAUACGGGGUAGGGGAGCGUUCCCAUAGGGUAGAAGUCGAACUGGAAGGUUCGGUGGACUUGUGGGAAGUGAGAAUGUUGGUAUGAGUAGCGAAAAGAAAGGUGAGAAUCCUUUCCACCGAAAGCAUAAGGAUUCCUGAGCAACGAUCGUCGUCUCAGGGUAAGUCGGGACCUAAUCCGAGGCAGAGAGCGUAGGAGAUGGACAACUGGUUGAUAUUCCAGUACCGGUAGUAAUUGUUUGAGCAAUGGAGUGACACAGAAGGGCAGGCAAGCAUGCGAAUGGAAGAGCAUGUGUAAGCGUGUAGGGUGGUGCAUAGGCAAAUCCGUGCACUGAAAGCCUGAGGCGUGAUGCGGAGUGAGCAGAGAUGCGAGCGAAGUUGUUGACCCCACACUGUCGAGAAAAGCUUCUAGUGAGAGAGCUACCGCCCGUACCGUAAACCGACACAGGUAUGCGGGGAGAGAAUCCUAAGGUGCGCGGGAGAACCCUCGUUAAGGAACUCGGCAAAAUGUACCCGUAACUUCGGGAUAAGGGUAGCCACUGUUGUGAAGUCCCAUGCGGAUGGAGCAUAGAGUGGUCGCAGAGAAGAGGCCCAAGCGACUGUUUACCAUAAACACAGGUGCCUGCUAAAGCGAAAGCUGACGUAUAGGUGCUGACACCUGCCCAGUGCCGGAAGGUUAAGGAAGGAUGUUCGGAUUAGUCCAAAGCAUUCGACUGAAGCCCCGGUGAACGGCGGCCGUAACUAUAACGGUCCUAAGGUAGCGAAAUUCCUUGUCGGGUAAGUUCCGACCCGCACGAAAGGUGUAACGAUUUGGGCACUGUCUCAACGAGGGACCCGGUGAAAUUGAAAUACCUGUGAAGAUGCAGGUUACCCGCGACUGGACAGAAAGACCCCAUGGAGCUUUACUGUAACCUGACAUUGGGUUUUGAUACAUUACGUACAGGAUAGGUGGGAGGCUUGGAAAGCUGGACGCUAGUCUGGCUGGAGCCGACGUUGGGAUACCACCCUUGAUGUAUUGAAAUUCUAACCGCGAGAGUAACGAAAUCCGGGACAGUGUCAGGCGGGCAGUUUGACUGGGGCGGUCGCCUCCGAAAGAGUAACGGAGGCGCCCAAAGGUUCCCUCAGCGCGGCCGGAAAUCGCGCGAAGAGUGUAAAGGCAGAAGGGAGCUUGACUGCGAGUCAAACACGACGAGCAGGUACGAAAGUAGGGCUUAGUGAUCCGGUGGUACCGAGUGGAAGGGCCAUCGCUCAACGGAUAAAAGCUACCCUGGGGAUAACAGGCUAAUCUCUCCCAAGAGUCCAUAUCGACGGGGAGGUUUGGCACCUCGAUGUCGGCUCAUCACAUCCUGGGGCUGAAGUCGGUCCCAAGGGUUGGGCUGUUCGCCCAUUAAAGUGGUACGUGAGCUGGGUUCAGAACGUCGUGAGACAGUUCGGUCC